This 749-nucleotide ribosomal RNA is filed under the name Taylorella equigenitalis. RNAcentral's name for it is "bacterial LSU rRNA". It matches the Rfam family "Bacterial large subunit ribosomal RNA", at positions 1160 to 1840 of the family's 2925-position model. Lineage: Bacteria; Pseudomonadati; Pseudomonadota; Betaproteobacteria; Burkholderiales; Alcaligenaceae. The record is from RNAcentral.
UGCGCGGAAGAUGUAACGGGGCUAAGCCAGUUACCGAAGCUGCGGAUGCAUCCGCUCUUUUAAUUUGUUUAUGUAGAGUUAAGAAGAAGUAGAAAAAGAAGUAAGUGGAUAGACGAAUUAAGAGAGCGGAUGUGUGGUAGGAGAGCGUUCUGUAAGCCUGAGAAGGUGAAUCGAGAGGUUUGCUGGAGGUAUCAGAAGUGCGAAUGCUGACAUGAGUAGCGAUAAAGGGAGUGAAAGGCUCCCUCGCCGUAAGUCCAAGGAUUCCUGCGCAACGUUCAUCGGCGCAGGGUUAGUCGGCCCCUAAGGUGAGGCAGAGAUGCGUACUGAUGGGAAGUGGGUUAAUAUUCCUACACCGAUAUGUGAAGUGAAGGGGGGACGGAUUGCGAAAUGUGAACGAGCUGAUGGAAGUGCUCGGUAUUGUAGCUAAGAAGUUGAUUAGGCAAAUCCGGUCAAAGGAUUCAAGGCUAUGAUUCGAAGAAGACGUAAUGUUUUUGAAGUCACAGGAAGUGGUUCCAAGAAAAGCCUCUAAGCGAUAAUUUACAUAUUGACCGUACCGCAAACCGACACAGGUGGACGGGAUGAAUAUUCCAAGGCGCUUGAGAGAACUCAGGAGAAGGAACUCGGCAAAUUGAUACCGUAACUUCGGGAGAAGGUAUGCCUUUGUAUGGUGAAUAGCCAGAAGAGGCCGCAGAGAAUAGGUGGCUGCGACUGUUUAUUAAAAACAUAGCACUCUGCAAACACGAAAGUGG